This 387-nucleotide ribosomal RNA is filed under the name uncultured eukaryote. RNAcentral describes it as "SSU rRNA". It matches the Rfam family "Eukaryotic small subunit ribosomal RNA", at positions 587 to 972 of the family's 1831-position model. The record is from RNAcentral.
AGCUCCAAUAGCGUAUAUUAAUGUUGCUGCAGUUAAAAAGCUCGUAGUUGAAUUUCUGACGUAACAUGCCUAGCCCGACAAGGUUACUUGUUGUGUGCUGGGUCGUGUUUGUCAUCCUUCUAGAAAAUGUUAUUGCUCUUCACUGAGUGAUAGCACUAUCUAGAUCUUUUACUUUGAAAAAAUUAGAGUGUUUAAAGCAGGCUUUUGCUAUGAAUACAUUAGCAUGGAAUAAUAAUUUAGGACUUCGGUUCUAUUUUGUUGGUUUCUAGGACUGAAGUAAUGAUUGAUAGGGAUAGUUGGGGAUGCUGAUAUUCAUGGGCCAGAGGUGAAAUUCUUUGAUUCCAUGAAGAUCAACUUAUGCGAAAGCAUUCAUCAAGGAUAUCUUCU